UUUUUAAGAGCUACAAGAUACAGAUCAAGAAUAGAAACAAGGCACAGAAACAAGCAAUCCAUGGCGGAAACCUUGAAGCGACAAAUGUUUCUGAACUCAGAUGAGAGAAGUUUGAGUCUAGCCAAUUAAACCAACUACCACUGAUUCACAUGAUAGGAAGUAUUCACACAAAACUCCAGCUGUUCCACUUGUAUCAAGUGAAAUCUCCGAAUUUUAUGCAAUAUAUGAACCAGAAGUAGCACGAGAGGAAAUAAGGGGAUCCCUCGCUGACUUCAAAAGACAUGAGUGACUCAGAUCAAAAACUUGCAUGAGAUUAUUUUACUCUUGGCAAUUUUAAGAGUUGCC
Molecule: long non-coding RNA, 345 nt
Filed under: Hordeum vulgare
Lineage: Eukaryota; Viridiplantae; Streptophyta; Magnoliopsida; Poales; Poaceae
Description: long non-coding RNA (HVUL_LNC018280)
Source: RNAcentral